RNAcentral lists this long non-coding RNA (1382 nucleotides) under Gadus morhua (Atlantic cod). RNAcentral's name for it is "lncRNA (ENSGMOG00000032737.1)". Lineage: Eukaryota; Metazoa; Chordata; Actinopteri; Gadiformes; Gadidae. The record is from RNAcentral.
GUGUAGAGUACUGCGUCACAGCUGACCGCUUUCCGCUGGACUCGCGUGCCUUGUGGAGUCGUGAUGGGAUCCACCUGAGUGACGAUCUGGGGAUGCCGCUUCUCGCGAAGCUUCUGUGGCACUUCUCCUUUCGGCAGCUACAGUCACCUCUGCCUGUUACACCUCCGCCUGUGUCUCCUCCCAAGUCACCCCCGACUGUGAGACCCUUUGCUACCACCGUGGUUGUGAAGGGAGAGGUUUCACGUCCACGUCCCCUUGACCCCUUCAAGGAAACUGUCGUCGGACGUCGCGGAAAGGUAAAAGUUAUACAAUUUUGAAGAGCUUUAGUUUUAGUUAGGCCACAUUUAUUGAAUACUAAUUCCCCCUAUGUGUUUAUAGCGCAGCCAACCUGAGUCCUGGGAUGCGCCUGAGGACUGGGAUCAGUCUUCCGUGCGGAUCCUUCCUCAUGAGGUUUGUACAUUGGUAUGAUAGCUGAUAGGAAAUUAAACCGUAAUGAUGCGUACAUUUGUUGUUUCAUUUAAAUGCUAUUCCUAUAAGACAAGGCAAAUGGUCAAUGGCUCAAUUCUGCUUUUUAUUUCUAGGUUUGUGUGCCUCCUCUGGUCCUGAGGGAGUGCUUUGUCGUGCUAAACCCUAUCCGGUUUAGCACUGACAAGUUGGCUGCAAUGGAUCGCAUUGUUCCAUCCAACCUUGACGUCCCCAUGGGGAAUCGCUCAAAGGUAAUUUGUGUGAUUUUAAUAACUGUUGGUGAGUGCAUACAUAUUAAUAGCACCUGUAAUCCUAUAUGACAAGCUUUACAUUGUAUGGUACAGAUAGUUGCAUUGAUAAUAAAAGUGUUAUAUUUCAUUAACUGUUAUCAUUUCCGUUCUCUUCCAUUAUGAUAGAAACGGAAGGUGGCACAUGGAACCACGGCUGUGGUCUCCAAAGGAAAGAAGGCCCGCCUUGAGGCACUUCAAACUCCAGCAAGGAUUGCCAAACCUUCGAAGCUGGUACCUCCCCCUCGACCUGUUCCAGAAGCUGCUGUACCAGCUACUCUGGAGGGCGUACCUCCUCCUCGACCUGUUCCAGAAGCUGCUGUGCCAGCCACUCUGGAGGGCAGCGUCUUUGUGCAUUCGAGCAAGUUUGCUCAACCGGAGGGGGAUGACAAGACUCUGUGUGUUGAUGAGUGGCCGUUUCUUCAAACAGAGUUUUUUGAGAAGGUGAACCAGCCAACUGCUCGGGUUGUCUCUGGACAGAGAAAACAAGAGGAGCCAACACCUUGGGGACCAAAAGUUGUGAUGGCCCAGGCUGAUAAACCAACAGCCAAUGAGACCAGCUUCUUGGGAUGUUCAACCAAGGUAAUGACAACAAUAUAAAAAAUGAUUUGCAAAUAAGCAAUCAAUCUG